CUCAUACUCAGCAUGAUGAAAGUGAAACUUAAUUUUUUCCUUCUUUCCUCCUCUAUUUUCUGACACUGUCAUCCACUUUAGCGUCUGCUCUUUUAGAGCUUGGUCUAGUGUCACUGAAGUUAAUAGGAGAUUUUCCAUUCCCAUUGUAUGAGAGCAGGAGCAGGCCAUUACCAGGGCUCAUAACCUUCUUGCCACGUUCAGCUAUUUCCUCUUUGUUCCUGCUCCUUCUAUCAAGGUCAUUGCUGAACACUUUUUAUUCUUCCCCUGCGCUAUCUACAGAAACCAUUUCUUAUACAGAAACUUUACUCCACAUUCUGUGAUCUCAGGUGUUGACUGCAGUGACCUCCACAUUUCUAGCCUUCCUGGUUAUCGUAGCGUAAUUUAGGUUAGAAGGGACCUCUGGAGGUCACCUUGUCCAAAACCCUGCUGAAAGCAAGGCCAACAGAAAUCAAGUUGCUGAGGGCCUUCUCCAGUCAGCCAUUAAAAAUCUCUGCAACCUCUCUGGACACCUGUUCCACUUUUCGACUACUUUCAUGAAACAUAUUUCUGGAGUCUACUCAGAAUUUUCCUUGUUCAAACUUCUGUCUGUUGCUGCUCAUCCUUUCACUGUGUGCCUACGUGAACAGUCUGGCUCCAUCUUUUUAUGUCAUUAUCACACAGCCACUAUUUCUCAGGCUUUCCAACUAAACUCCUCCAACCUGCCGGCAUUCCAUGUCAGUACUGGGAAUGUCGAUCCCUUUCUGAAGUACGUGCUGAGUCUCUGCUGGCUACAUCUCCCUGUCCCCAAGGUGACAAGCCGGGGAGUCACCCAGAGCCAGCAUCUACCGCGUCCUGCGUCCCACAGGUCCCCGUGGGUGCUGGAGGUAGCUGAGGGGAUUUGCACAGUCCAAGGGCUCCAGACCUUGUUUAGCAGUGAUCCCGUGGCCAACUCGCCCAGGCGGUGCUGCCCAGCGGGGCUGCUGCUAGGGCAGACCGCGCAGCGCGCCGUCGGCCGCCGGGCACCCAGAUCCGUGCUGGGAGGCGGCGCAGGCUCCGGGCUGGCUCCACAGGCCAGCUCCUCUGUCCGCCGACGGCCAGCUUGUGAGCGCAGGAUGGGACCCAGUGCGGCUGCACCCGUCUCUGUCCCAGGCUGCGUCAGGCCGGUUCCCGCUCCUGGGCCAGGCCUGCUUCACGCUGCCGGCCGGCGGGCGCUGCUGGGCCUCCUGCUGCCGCCGUGCCUUGUGCCUCGCACACCCCAGCCCGCCCGCCUGCCCCGCGCUCUCGCACAAGGCCUCGUCGCUCCUGUCAGGCUGCCCUCCCCAAGGUCGCCGGCCUCGUGGCGGAGGCUGCCCUCAGCAAGCACCGCCAGCCAUCUCCCACCAGCAGCCCUGUGA
Molecule: long non-coding RNA, 1373 nt
Filed under: Anser brachyrhynchus (Pink-footed goose)
Lineage: Eukaryota; Metazoa; Chordata; Aves; Anseriformes; Anatidae
Description: lncRNA (ENSABRG00000003037.1)
Source: RNAcentral